This 376-nucleotide ribosomal RNA is filed under the name uncultured eukaryote. Its description in RNAcentral is "SSU rRNA". It matches the Rfam family "Eukaryotic small subunit ribosomal RNA", at positions 587 to 972 of the family's 1831-position model. The record is from RNAcentral.
AGCUCCAAUAGCGUAUAUUAAAGUUGUUGCAGUUAAAAAGCUCGUAGUUGGAUUUCUGGCCGAGUGUCCCCAGGCCAGCAUGACGUUUGGUCCUGGGCGCUCUGCCAUCCUUCUGUCAACCUUCGCCUCGUUCAUUCGUGGCGCUGGGGCUCAGAUAUUUUACCUUGAGAAAAUUAGAGUGUUUCAGGCAGGCUUUCGCCGGAAUACAUUAGCAUGGAAUAAUGGAAAAGGACUUCAACCUCUUCUGUUGGUCUGAGAGGCUGUAGUAAUGAUUAAUAGGGAUAGUUGGGGGCAUUAGUACUUAACUGUCAGAGGUGAAAUUCUCCGAUUUGUUAAAGACUAACUUAUGCGAAAGCAUUUGCCAAGGAUGUUUUCA